CAGCUUCAAGAGAAUUUUUCUUUUCUUCAUGGGGAGGCUGAAGAAUCAGAACUGUCAUACCAAAGAAUGAAAAGCAAGCCUAGGGAGAACAAGACAGUCUGAUGUUUACAUGGGGUUAACUUAUUUGAUCAGUGAAAUCAGAAAAGGAUCAUUCUGCAUUCGUGGACUCCUCUCAUUGACACACUCGCUUACCCAUCUGAAAACAGCAACACAGUCUGGGUUCCUGAUUUGUAUCUAUUACCCUUCAUGGAAAUGGCUGGUGAAGCAAAACUAUGUGUGUAAAACUGCAUCUGCCACAGGCUGCUUGUCCACAAAAGCAGCAAAGCAUCUCUAUGGAAUACCUCCGUAUGGAUCUGUAAAGAAGAGUCCCACUUCAAUCAAAGACAGCAGAUUAUGAGGUGAAGAACUGACCAGCGAUGAUCGGCCAGAAGACUGUGGCGUUUCAAAAUCAGAUGAGUAAGAAUAAUGGUGUUUGCCUGCCUUUCUUUCUUGAUCAGUACCUGGACUUCCUGCUCUUUCCCCCAUUGUUUUGAAAAAUGGUCUCUAUUCACAUAAUUUCACAGAUUAUUUUCUCCAGAGGAGACUACGACAAUACUGAAAAACAUUUUCACAGUCUUCAGAUCCUGAUAAUAUUCAUUUCUGUGCAAUCUAUUUUCUC
RNAcentral lists this long non-coding RNA (658 nucleotides) under Pan troglodytes (chimpanzee). RNAcentral describes it as "long non-coding RNA NONPTRT014710". The record is from RNAcentral. Lineage: Eukaryota; Metazoa; Chordata; Mammalia; Primates; Hominidae.